This 537-nucleotide ribosomal RNA is filed under the name Bactrodes femoratus. RNAcentral's name for it is "partial 16S ribosomal RNA". It matches the Rfam family "Bacterial large subunit ribosomal RNA", at positions 1826 to 2608 of the family's 2925-position model. Lineage: Eukaryota; Metazoa; Arthropoda; Insecta; Hemiptera; Reduviidae. The record is from RNAcentral.
ACAUGUCCUAUAGUUAUUUAUGUUAGGUCUGGCCUGCCCAAUGAUUAUUAUUUAAUUUAAUGGCCGCGGUAUUUUGACUGCGCAAAGGUAGCGUAAUUAUUUGUCUUUUAAUUGGAGUCCAGUAUGAACGGCCGGACGAGGCAUAAGCUUUCUUUAACUUACUUUUUUGAAUUUAAUUUUUUAGUUAAAAAGCUUAAAUUUUUUUAAGGGACGAGAAGACCCUGUAGAUCUUUAUAAUAAUAUUAGUAGCAUCAAUGUGGGUUUUUGAUAAUGGUAACUGUUUACUGGUUUUAUUAUUUGACUGGGGCGAUUUUGGAAUUUAAAUAACUUUCAAUUUUAAAUACACUAGUAAGUGUAUAUUUUGAUCCAUUAUUAAUGAUUAAAAGAUUAAGUUACCUCAGGGAUAACAGCGUGAUCUUUUCUAAGAGAUCUUAUCGAAGGAAAGGAUUGCGACCUCGAUGUUGGAUUAAAAUAAGUGUUAGGCGUAGCCGUUUAAUAACUAGGUCUGUUCGACCUUUAAUUUUUUACAUGAUCUGA